CUGACCCGGUCCAUCCAUUUAUUCUGCCAUCCAUCCUUCUAACCAUUGGUGCAACUGUCCAUCCAUUCAUCUAUCCAUCCUUCCAACAGUCUGUUGGAACCAACCAUCCAUCCAUUAUUCCAUCCAUCCAUCCAUUAAAAGAUCCAUUUUUCAUCCAUCCAUCCAUCCUUCCAAAUGUAUAUCCAAAUGUCCAUCCAUCCAUCCAUCAUCCACCCAUCCAAAGAUCCAUUCAUUCAUUCAUCCAUCCUUCCAUCUGUCUAUUCAAGCUUCUAUCCAUCCACCCAUCCAUCCAAAGAUCCAUUCAUACAUCCAUACCUCCUUCCAACUAUCCAUUCAUACAUCCAUCCAUCCAAAGGUCCAUUUAUUUAUCCAUCCAUCUAUCCAUCCAUCCAUCCAUCCACCCAUCCAUCCAAAGAUCCAUUCAUACAUCCAUACAUCCUUCCAACUGUACAUCCAUGCAUCCAUCCAAAGGUCCAUUUAUUUAUCCAUCCAUCUAUCCAUCCAUCCAUCCAUCCAUCCAAAGGUCCAUUUAUUUAUCCAUCCAACCUUCCAACUGUCUACCCAACCAUCCAUCCAUCCAAAGAUCCAUUCAUUAAUCCAUCCAUCUAUCCAACCAUCCAUCCAUCAUCCCAUCAUCCAUCAGUGCAUCUAUUCCUUUGCCUUAGUGAGCAACUCAGUAGGUAACAAAUCUUCAAACUACCAGUCUACUGUCAUGCAGACUCCAUAUCUAAACCCUCACACACUCUCCAAUAUGCACUACAUGGCCAAAAGUAU
Long non-coding RNA from Ictalurus punctatus (channel catfish), 774 nucleotides. The record is from Ensembl. Lineage: Eukaryota; Metazoa; Chordata; Actinopteri; Siluriformes; Ictaluridae.